RNAcentral lists this unclassified non-coding RNA (400 nucleotides) under uncultured fungus. RNAcentral describes it as "sequence contains ITS1". The stretch from base 1 to 103 matches the Rfam family "5.8S ribosomal RNA", at positions 50 to 154 of the family's 154-position model. Lineage: Eukaryota; Fungi. The record is from RNAcentral.
GAAAUGCGAUACGUAGUGUGAAUUGCAGAAUUCAGUGAAUCAUCGAAACCUUGAACGCACCUUGCGCCUGUGGUCACCCACAGGCAUACCUGUUUGAGUGUCGUUUUUCUAUUCUCACAAACAAACCCACCUUCAGUGGAUGGAUUCGGGAGUGGAAUUGGCCGUUUUUCUGCCUGGCAGGAAAUCGACUUAAAAGCAGUGGGGACCUGGUGGAGCCGCCAUCCACCCUGCGAUCCGCAACUCUGGAAUGUUUCUAAUCGUGCUUCGCAUGAAAGUACAUCUCUGGACUGCACCAAGGACCGUGGGAGGUGACGACUCUUUCAGCCCUGAUGGAAGGACUUCCCACAAACGAAGUCAAGAAUCAUUCAAAACUGCGACCUCAGAUCAGGUAAGAUUACCC